Long non-coding RNA from Apis cerana (Asiatic honeybee), 1276 nucleotides. RefSeq lists it as uncharacterized. The record is from RefSeq and is a predicted model, not a curated record. Lineage: Eukaryota; Metazoa; Arthropoda; Insecta; Hymenoptera; Apidae.
UCUACAAAAAAAAAUAAGAUAGCUUAAUAACAAUAAAAUUUUCAGUUCAAUAAAAUUUCAUCAUGAAACAUUCAAAAAAGAAAAAAAUACGACGACCAUUUUAAUAUGUUUGAUGAUAUUUCAUGUUUCUCCAUCUAUGAAAUAUUAUGUUUUCAAUAAUUAUAAUUUCUUAUCUCGAGUGUACAAUGUUUGAUGAAAUAUUCCAUAUAAAAAAUUUAACAUGAUUCAAAUAAUAUUCGUGUUCUUCAUUAUGAUAGUGACAUAAUAAAUUAAAAAGGAUAAAAAAGCAAGAUAAUGAACGAUAGUGGAAUAUUUUUUGUUGGUAUUGAGAUUAGAUUGCAGAAAAAAUUUAAUUUGAUUCAACGAGAUAUGACACGUUAAAUUUUUAAUUCGAUUUUUCUUAUACUAAAUUUUAUAAUUUAAUAACAAAAUUAUAUAUUCUUUGACUAAUUUUCAAAUUUGAAUUAGAAUUGAAUAUUAUUUCACUUAUUGAAAAAUUAUUUAUUGAAAUUGAAAAAUAAAAUUAUAAUAAAGAUAAUUAAAUUUUUUAAAAUCCUUGAAAGAGCUAUUAUUAAAAUUAUUGAAAUUACAGAUUUCAGAUUUCUUGCUUUUAAUAUGUUCUUUUAAUAUAUAUUAUUUUUAUUAUAAAGAUAAUUUUAGCAAAAGCAAUAUUGAUUUUUAUUGAGACAGAAACAUGAUUACGUAUAUAUCUAUUUAUUUUCAUCUUAUUUUAAUUAUAUAACUAAAGAAUAAAUUUUUUCAAAUAAAUUUGUUAUCGAAACAAUGUUUUAUCAUAAACUAUAAAACUUAAUUUUGUAAUUUUGUAAUUUCAAAGAAAUUAAUUUAUUUUAUAUGUUUUAUGAAUUAUCAUUAUUUGUUAAUUUAUAUGUUAUUAAUAACAAUUAUUAUAUUACUAUUAUAUAUAUUAUAUUUAAGAUAAUAAGAUAAUAAUAUGUAAGAUAUUAGAAGAAGUUUCAAAUGUUACUGAAAAUAUGUAUGUAUAUAUGUAAUUUUUAUUGUUUAUUCGAGUAGUGAAUAAUUUUAAUGAAAAAAAAAAAAAAACACAAUUUUUCACAUUUUACUCACUUCGAAAUCGUGUUUAGAAUGUUCUUCACCAUUAUAACAUACGUAGGCGACAUGUUUAUCAGGGAUUACUUUUGCGGGAAGCAUGUCACCCUCGUGAAAGGCUCUGCCAACGUAAAUCGAACUACCGUCUACAUCACGACCUCCGAGAAUCGCAGUUUCCGGCAAACUUUGCCCUGCACUUCGGUUCAAC